RNAcentral lists this ribosomal RNA (497 nucleotides) under Merocystis kathae. Its description in RNAcentral is "SSU rRNA". The record is from RNAcentral. Lineage: Eukaryota; Apicomplexa; Marosporida; Aggregatidae.
CUGUGAAUGGCUUAUUAAACCAGUUAUGAAUUGUAUAAUAAUUAUUUUAAAAGUGGAAUAUAUUUGGUAAUUCUAAGGCUAAUACAUAGAUAUUUUGUUUUAUUAAAAAAUUAUUUUAUUAUAAAGAAGAUAUUUUAUAUUUUGGUAUAAAAAUGCUUGAAAGUAUAUWAUUACGAGAAAUUCAUUAAUUAAUGAGUUUAUGAUAAUGUUUUUGACCUAUCAGUUUUUGAUAAUAUAGUAUAGGUUUAUUAUGGCUUUGACAGGUAACGGAAAAUUAGGGUUUGAUUCCGGAGAGGGAGCUUGAGAUAUAGUUAUCACAUCUAAGGAAGGCAACAGGCGCGUGAAUUACCCACUUUUAAUAUGAAGAGGUAGUUAUGAAAAAUAACAAUUCAGGAUAAGUUAAUUGUUUUGUAGUUGGAAUAUAAUUUAUUUAUAAAAUCUAUUGAGUAUUGAUUAGAGGGCAAGCCUGGUGCCAGCAGCCGCGGUAAUUCCAGCUC